This 368-nucleotide ribosomal RNA is filed under the name Theileria sp. RNAcentral describes it as "SSU rRNA". It matches the Rfam family "Eukaryotic small subunit ribosomal RNA", at positions 487 to 886 of the family's 1831-position model. The record is from RNAcentral. Lineage: Eukaryota; Apicomplexa; Aconoidasida; Piroplasmida; Theileriidae.
GGGGCUUAAAGUCUUGUAAUUGGAAUGAUGGGAAUUUAAACCUCUUCCAGAGUAUCAAUUGGAGGGCAAGUCUGGUGCCAGCAGCCGCGGUAAUUCCAGCUCCAAUAGCGUAUAUUAAAAUUGUUGCAGUUAAAAAGCUCGUAGUUGAAUUUCUGCUGUAUUGCAUUUUCUCUUUUUAUAUGAGUUUUUGCAUUAUGGCUUAUUUCAGUAUUAAUUUUUUAUUAUUACUGAAUGUUUACUUUGAGAAAAUUAGAGUGCUCAAAGCAGGCUUUUGCCUUGAAUAGUUUAGCAUGGAAUAAUAAAGUAGGACUUUGGUUCUAUUUUGUUGGUUUUAGGUACCAAAGUAAUGGUUAAUAGGAACAGUUGGG